AACGAACGCUGGCGGCAGGCCUAACACAUGCAAGUCGAACGCCCGUAGCAAUACGGGGAGUGGCAGACGGGUGAGUAACGCGUGGGAACGUGCCCCUUCGGUUCGGAAUAACUCAGGGAAACUUGAGCUAAUACCGGAUACGUCCGUAAGGAGAAAGAUUUAUCGCCGAAGGAUCGGCCCGCGUCGGAUUAGCUAGUUGGUGAGGUAACGGCCCACCAAGGCGACGAUCCGUAGCUGGUCUGAGAGGANGAUCAGCCACACUGGGACUGAGACACGGCCCAGACUCCUACGGGAGGCAGCAGUGGGGAAUAUUGGACAAUGGGCGAAAGCCUGAUCCAGCCAUGCCGCGUGAGUGAAGAAGGCCUUAGGGUUGUAAAGCUCUUUCAGCGGGAAGAUAAUGAC
Molecule: ribosomal RNA, 402 nt
Filed under: uncultured bacterium
Lineage: Bacteria
Description: bacterial SSU rRNA
Rfam family: Bacterial small subunit ribosomal RNA
Source: RNAcentral